AUUGAACGCUGGCGGCAGGCCUAACACAUGCAAGUCGAAUGGUAACAGGAAGCAGCUUGCUGUUUCGCUGACGAGUGGCGGACGGGUGAGUAAUGUCUGGGAAACUGCCUGAUGGAGGGGGAUAACUACUGGAAACGGUAGCUAAUACCGCAUAACGUCGCAAGACCAAAGAGGGGGACCUUCGGGCCUCUUGCCAUCAGAUGUGCCCAGGUGGGAUUAGCUAGUAGGUGGGGUAACGGCUCACCUAGGCGACGAUCCCUAGCUGGUCUGAGAGGAUGACCAGCCACACUGGAACUGAGACACGGUCCAGACUCCUACGGGAGGCAGCAGUGGGGAAUAUUGCACAAUGGGCGCAAGCCUGAUGCAGCCAUGCCGCGUGUAUGAAGAAGGCCUUCGGGUUGUAAAGUACUUUCAGCGGGGAGGAAGGGAGUAAAGUUAAUACCUUUGCUCAUUGACGUUACCCGCAGAAGAAGCACCGGCUAACUCCGU
This 489-nucleotide ribosomal RNA is filed under the name uncultured bacterium. RNAcentral's name for it is "partial 16S ribosomal RNA". It matches the Rfam family "Bacterial small subunit ribosomal RNA", at positions 30 to 506 of the family's 1533-position model. The record is from RNAcentral.